AUGUGCGAGCUAUCACAGUUCUUUCGGAAAAGGCUCCUUUAAUAUCCUGGGCUUCUGCUAGUCUAGUCCCCAGUCUCUCUCUCUCUCUCUCUCUCUCUCUCUCUCUCUCUCUUUCUCUCUCUCUCCCUCCCUCCCUCCCUCCCUCCCUUCCUCCUGUUAAGCCAGUCCCUUCUGGUGGGAGGGCAAGUGUGGUACAGUCUUCUAUUGUGUGUGUAAAACAGAGCCCUAUCAGUGGGGAAGUAACGAUAACAUUUGUAGUUGUGGAAGCGAAGAUAACAGGAAUCAGGUCUCUGCUCUGGGGAAGAAAGGAAUGGCCUGAGCCUCACCAGGGCCUGGGUGUUCUGCUGAGAGGUAAUCUGACCUCUAGAAUGGAAGGCAGGCGAGCUAAUGUGUUCAUUGCGGCAGAGGCCAGUGGCGUGAUAGCAUCAGUCUGCAGCCCAUUUGGAUGUCUUACAGAAAGGUGCUAGGCUGGGGCUGCCUUUGCUGAGCUUUGCGGAGAAUGCCCGGGUGCCGCAGGCUCUGCAGUCUGCAGAAAUCCAGAAAAAAAGGGAGACCAGGAGGUAGGCUGCUUGCACACAGGAAUGUGGCUGAAUGCCGAGACCCUAUUCUAUUCUCCUGCCUUACCUGGUCCCUGGUUCUUCCAUUGCAGUGAGUCACCUGAGCACUGAUUGACAGUGGGUCCAAGUUCCAAGCAGCAGCCACAAGGCUGCUGGACCUGCUACAGCAUCUGCGGUGAGCUCCUCAUUUUCAUGAUUGCUGUGGCCGGGACCAGCUGUGAGCACUGGAGACGACAGAACCUCGUCCAGGCACCAGCCGCUCAGUACAGGAGAGCCAUCUCGGCGGAAGGUCUGCAGACUGGGAAUGCUGCCUCCCCAGAGGAAAACAAAGGCUGUGUCUGCAAGGACAUCGAGUCUGGAGCUGGAAAACCUGGAGCUGUUGGCCCCUCCACUCUGGUUUCUUUAAAAAAAGGCUGAGCUUUCUGGAAUCGACUGGAUGAAAUGAGCACACGGAGCGGAGCUGGCAUGUGAAUGAUGCUGUCUGCUGACCAAGUUGUUGCUUGAAUGAGGUCCCGGGUUAGCCCUGUUAGGCAAUGCUGAGAACACCUGACGUGGCACUAUCUACAAUAGCCAAACACCCACCAAGAGAUGAGUGGAAGAAGAUGCGGCAUAGCCAUACCGUGGAGUAUCACUUCACCAAAGAGACGAUACAGCACCAACACCCACUAUAGUGUGCUGAAAAAAGCCAGAACAACCAACUACAAACGGGAUGGCUUUCUUUAUGCGAAAUAUCACGGACGUGCAAAUCCCCAGGUUGAAAUUACCCAGGGAAGAAGGCACGGGGGAAGGGGAAGGGACCGCUGAGAGGCAACAGGGUAUCUUUUAGGAAAGAUGAGAAAUCCUAGAAUUCGUGGCAAUGGAGGACCAGUCUCGCGGAUGUACUUAGUGGGGCUGAAGUGAUUCAUGUUCAGUGUUAAUUUUGCCCCA
Alexandromys fortis (reed vole) is the source of this 1484-nucleotide long non-coding RNA. RefSeq lists it as uncharacterized. Lineage: Eukaryota; Metazoa; Chordata; Mammalia; Rodentia; Cricetidae. The transcript has 7 exons. The record is from RefSeq and is a predicted model, not a curated record.